This 272-nucleotide unclassified non-coding RNA is filed under the name Hevea brasiliensis (rubber tree). Lineage: Eukaryota; Viridiplantae; Streptophyta; Magnoliopsida; Malpighiales; Euphorbiaceae. The record is from RNAcentral.
UUAGCUUAUUGGGUAAUUGAACUUUAUUUAUGUUGAGUAUGCACAUUAUUUAUUACUGAACUAUAUACCAUUGACACAAACGAAGAAAACUAAAUAAUCAGAGCAAAAUAUACAAUAUACGAGCUUCAUUGACAUUAGGAGUUUGAGGUUUAGCAAAUUAAAGAUGAUAAUUUUUUAGUGGACAGAACCUUUGAUUAUAUCCUAUUACGUAUGAGGCUAGGACGUGGAAAUUGCUGCUGGGAGUUAAGUUACUGAGAAAUAGGUUAGAAUGA